UACCGCAUAAGCCCACGGCUCGGCAUCGAGCAGGGGGAAAAGGAGCAAUCCGCUUUGAGAUGGCCUCGCGUCCGAUUAGCUAGUUGGUGAGGUAACGGCCCACCAAGGCGACGAUCGGUAGCCGGACUGAGAGGUUGAACGGCCACAUUGGGACUGAGACACGGCCCAGACUCCUACGGGAGGCAGCAGUGGGGAAUAUUGCACAAUGGGGGAAACCCUGAUGCAGCGACGCCGCGUGGAGGAAGAAGGUCUUCGGAUUGUAAACUCCUGUUGUUGAGGAAGAUAAUGACGGUACUCAACAAGGAAGUGACGGCUAACUACGUGCCAGCAGCCGCGGUAAAACGUAGGUCACAAGCGUUGUCCGGAAUUACUGGGUGUAAAGGGAGCGCAGGCGGGAGAACAAGUUGGAAGUGAAAUCCAUGGGCUCAACCCAUGAACUGCUUUCAAAACUGUUUUUCUUGAGUAGUGCAGAGGUAGGCGGAAUUCCCGGUGUAGCGGUGGAAUGCGUAGAUAUCGGGAGGAACACCAGUGGCGAAGGCGGCCUACUGGGCACCAACUGACGCUGAGGCUCGAAAGUGUGGGUAGCAAACAGGAUUAGAUACCCUGGUAGUCCACACCGUAAACGAUGAUUACUA
This 635-nucleotide ribosomal RNA is filed under the name uncultured bacterium. RNAcentral's name for it is "bacterial SSU rRNA". It matches the Rfam family "Bacterial small subunit ribosomal RNA", at positions 167 to 818 of the family's 1533-position model. The record is from RNAcentral.